GUGUCAGCAGCCGCGGUAAUACGGAGGGUGCAAGCGUUAUCCGGAAUCAUUGGGUUUAAAGGGUGCGCAGGCGGAAUUUUAAGUCAGUGGUGAAAUCCCUUCGCUUAACGAAGGAACUGCCAUUGAUACUGAAAUUCUUGAAUUUGGUUGGCGUGGGCGGAAUGUGCCAUGUAGCGGUGAAAUGCUUAGAUAUGGCACAGAACACCGAUCGCGAAGGCAGCUCACGAAACCAUUAUUGACGCUCAGGCACGAAAGCAUGGGGAGCAAACAGGAUUAGAAACCCUAGUAGUCC
This 292-nucleotide ribosomal RNA is filed under the name uncultured bacterium. RNAcentral's name for it is "partial 16S ribosomal RNA". It matches the Rfam family "Bacterial small subunit ribosomal RNA", at positions 505 to 796 of the family's 1533-position model. The record is from RNAcentral.